CGGGACGGGUGAGUAACGCGUGGAUAACCUGCCUCACACUGGGGGAUAACAGUUAGAAAUGGCUGCUAAUACCGCAUAAGCGCACAGUACCGCAUGGUACGGUGUGAAAAACCCAGGUGGUGUGAGAUGGAUCCGCGGCUGAUUAGCCAGUUGGCGGGGUAACGGCCCACCAAAGCGACGAUCAGUAGCCGACCUGAGAGGGUGACCGGCCACAUUGGGACUGAGACACGGCCCAA
This 236-nucleotide ribosomal RNA is filed under the name uncultured bacterium. RNAcentral's name for it is "partial 16S ribosomal RNA". It matches the Rfam family "Bacterial small subunit ribosomal RNA", at positions 100 to 334 of the family's 1533-position model. The record is from RNAcentral.